RNAcentral lists this long non-coding RNA (3303 nucleotides) under Portunus trituberculatus (swimming crab). RNAcentral describes it as "uncharacterized LOC123499482, transcript variant X2". The record is from RNAcentral. Lineage: Eukaryota; Metazoa; Arthropoda; Malacostraca; Decapoda; Portunidae.
AAAUAAAUACUUCCAUGCUCAAGAUAACAAAGAGGAAUGUUUACUGAAUUAUUAGAAAAGGUUGUGUUGAUAUACAAAGAAAAAAAUGGUACGAGGUAAAAACUGGUGUCACUGGGCAUGCGCGGGAGCAGCAGGAGUGACGUGUCUGGUACCAGGUGCAUGUUCCUCGUCCCUGUCCAUUUUUCUCCCGCUGGCCGUUGUGCUGCAUUGAUGCCUCGCCACGUGGAGCCUCGUUGUGCUGGAGGUAAAGGACGAAUUUCAGGUAGAAGUUUAGAUGACACUCAUAAAUGAAAGCUGCAUUACUCUGAGUUGAUGGAGUACCUUGCCAAGAGAGACGAGAAGUGGCAGUGUUUACAAAUUGCCGUGCCGUGACUCAGAUCAGUUGGAAACUAAUCUACUAUAACAUGAAGUGAAGAGUGACCUGCUUAAAUGGCUGCUAACCAGGAGCUUCAUAGAGACAAGCUGUAUCACAUUCACUAAAGCAAGCAACAUCUCCAUACUGUAUAAGGCUAUCAUCUGAGGUUUCUCCCAUCUGAUACAAAAAGACCAGAGAUUAACAUUAAAGGCUUGUGACGGGGCAAGAAAAUGCAUCACCUGCACUACCUGUAUGGGUGUGAUGACUCACCAAGCCUCUUCAAUUUCCCCACAUCAUUGUACCAGUACCCUCCCUAACUCACUACUACUGAAGAUGAAAGCAGACUCAAAAUGGAUUAAAGGCCUUGAAACUGCCUAAAAAAUCUUACCAGUGUCCCUGAAAUAGCCUGUAAAAUUGUAUUUAGUGGUCCAGAAAUGGUCUUAAAAAAACUGUACUAAGUCAGAAAUACUUGAAAGACUGUCUGGAGCUUUUGUAGUGAGUGAUUUGAUAAAGAUUGUUGUGGGAGAUAAUACUUUGUUUUCUUAUUUAAUAAUUGUUGCACACUAUACCACAAAGUCUCUGGAAGUCUUUAGAGUAUGACUUGGUACAUUUUUGGGGUAACUUCAUUACACUUUUUGUACAGUUCUUUUGAAUAGAGUUACAGUCAUCAGUGGUAGAGGGUGGGCAGGAUAUUGGUGCACCCUAAAAUCUGUGUAGUUCAGCCCACAAUUUCUUCAGUGAUGAUCUAGAGCAGGAUGUCAUAGGCAGGCAAGUUAGUCCAACCAGCAUUGGCUCUGAAGACUCCCCACUCCUCAAGUUGGAGCCAUGACAGAUGGUAGUGGUGGCACUUCAAGCACCUCUUCUGUUGUGGACUCCUGAAGCUUACUCAUUUUGGGACUGCCAUACCUCAUUGGUUCUUGCAAACUGGAAAAGGGAAAAUCAUUGAGAUAAAAUUCUUACUGUUAAAAAGAAAUUCUCAGUCUAACACCAAAUUAAGGCAGAAAGUGAUACAUUUAGUUUAUAAUGUACCUACUAUAUCAGAAUAAUAGUUCCUUUCAUACCAACAAGUAGUGUAUUUCAGUUUUAGCAGUUGGUGAAAACAAACAAGAUGGCCCAGAAUCACUCCAGAGACAGGCCCUUGGAUAUGCAACUCUUGUAGAGGACAAAGAAAAGAAGCAGAAAGAAAGCCUGAGAGCAAGCAAUGAGGAUGGCUAGGCAGGCUGGGUGGUGUUCUAAGCCAGCCUGAUAGUAUCCAUACCACUCCACUCGCCCUUUUCCACCUAGGGAGGCAGUGCACCACAUCUCGAGCAGGCUUUUGGAGGUUCAGCAUUGCACUGCACACUGCUUUCAUAAAUGUGUGUGCAGGCGUUAGACAGAGUAGUUGCAAGGAUGGAGGAUGCUUCAACGUUCACAGCAUCAUGGGUUCAUACUUUCUAUUUUUGUGGAAAGUAAUGCACACAGUUUUAACCAAAGGAUUAUAUGUCAUCAUUCAUAUACAUAGAUUUCAUGACUUUAACAUUGUGUUGACCUUUGUGCACCAAAUCACUUCAUUACAUUUAAGCAUAUAAUUAGCUUCAAGGAGUAACGGUUUAUCAAAAUUGUAAUGCAUUACGAAGAUUUGUUUAAAGGUGUUUGUUUAUGAGCAUGAUCUAGUUGUGCCAGUCUUAACAGUCCAGAUUGUACAGACAUGAACCAUUGUCCAUUGCACUUCCUGAAGAUGGAAUUUCUUUCAACAUCACAAGGAGUGUGUGUGUGCAGCUUUGUGGGCAAGUGUGCUAAUCAUUCCUUGAUGUCAAUGUCUUUCAUGUAGGGAAAAAAUGUGUGUAAUUAGGUUUUAUAUACAUUUUUGAGUGAGAAUAUUUAGACUGAUUAAGUUUGCCAACUUUCUAGAGCUUUGCUGUUACAUUUCUUUCUUUGCAAGAUUUCAGGGGUCGUAUCCUACAAACUGUCAUAGCUAAUGAAGUGAUAGUAGCGAGACAAAAUAGUGCAUUUUAGACACUAGUCUCUCUAUGACCUUGUGACUUGUCAUAAGUGCCAAGGCAGGGUUCACCCUGUUAUAGCGCUGCCAACCACUGUCUUAAAACUUGUCAACAUGGUGGGACUUGGCUGUAAGUACCAUAGCAUGAUCCCAACAGUUUUUAUUAUUAAUUAAUGAUAGAUACCCAUAAUAGUGACUAAAUAAUGUCCUUAGUUGAUGCAGUAAUUUACCAUUAUAGGUAACUAUCGAGAGAGGUACAAUCAGUUUUCCCCAAACUCAAACAAACCCUGUGUGUUAUGCAUGUGUCAUGUAUCAUAUAUUGGGGAUAAUCUUCCCCUUUUUGUCAUGUUUCUUUUGUUUGUAUAGACAGUCUAACUAUUCCCAAAGUAGUAAUAUGAUGUCAAAAUAAUUGAAAUUGUAGAAAAUUGUCAAGUAGCUAUUUCUUUCUAUUCAUAUAUAAAGUUGACAAAUAAUGAGCCUAAAGACCAACAGUGGAGUGAAAGUGAGGCAUUCAGUGAGACCCAAGGCUAUCUGUGUAGAAUGCAGCCCCAGAAUGAUGGUGAAUAUAUAGUGUUGCAAGGGAUGUGUUGUUUGAGAGCAAUGCCACUGUGAAAGGUGAUAGUUCCUCCUCUCAAUAUACUACUCAUGUUGUUAUAUAUUAAUUUUGUUAUAUUAGAUUAAUGUAUGGAUACCAAUGACAAGUGGAAUGAGGUAGACAUGUUCAUACAGUGACUGCUGCUAUAUAUGUGCAGGCCUCAUGGACUCUUGCAAUUUUCCUCAUUUUUGUUUCUCUAAUACUUUUGAAAUAAUUGAGUUAAAAAUAUUCCCAGAGUAAAUGUUAUUCUUGAAAAAUUGCAUGUCAAAUUGUACAAAUUCUGCUGUUCCACUCAAAAUUAUUCUAAGUUGAAAAUUUUUGUAGAGUUUUUGGACAAAAUGUGAUGAUUGAAUGAAUAAAAGGGAAGGGAGACUC